RNAcentral lists this ribosomal RNA (467 nucleotides) under uncultured bacterium. Its description in RNAcentral is "partial 16S ribosomal RNA". It matches the Rfam family "Bacterial small subunit ribosomal RNA", at positions 29 to 507 of the family's 1533-position model. The record is from RNAcentral.
ACGCACGCUGGCGGCGUGCUUCACACCUGCCAGUCGAACGGAAAGGCCCUGCUUUUGUGGGGUGCUCGAGUGGCGAACGGGUGAGUAACACGUGAGUAACCUGCCCUUGACUUUGGGAUAACUUCAGGAAACUGGGGCUAAUACCGGAUAGGAGCUCCUGCUCCAUGGUGGGGGUUGGAAAGUUUCGGCGGUUGGGGAUGGACUCGCGGCUUAUCAGCUUGUUGGUGGGGUAGUGGCUUACCAAGGCUUUGACGGGUAGCCGGCCUGAGAGGGUGACCGGCCACAUUGGGACUGAGAUACGGCCCAGACUCCUACGGGAGGCAGCAGUGGGGAAUAUUGCACAAUGGGCGGAAGCCUGAUGCAGCAACGCCGCGUGCGGGAUGACGGCCUUCGGGUUGUAAACCGCUUUCGCCUGUGACGAAGCGUGAGUGACGGUAAUGGGUAAAGAAGCACCGGCUAACUACGUG